Molecule: microRNA precursor, 101 nt
Filed under: Chlorocebus sabaeus (green monkey)
Lineage: Eukaryota; Metazoa; Chordata; Mammalia; Primates; Cercopithecidae
Description: miRNA (ENSCSAG00000023538.1)
Source: RNAcentral
UGAGGCAGGAGAAUUGCUUGAAGCCAGGAAGUGGAGGUUGCAGUGAACCAAGAUCGUGCCACUGCACUCCAGCCUGGGCGACACAGCGAGACUCCGUCUCA